This 302-nucleotide long non-coding RNA is filed under the name Homo sapiens (human). Its description in RNAcentral is "non-protein coding lnc-GAP43-18:1". The record is from RNAcentral. Lineage: Eukaryota; Metazoa; Chordata; Mammalia; Primates; Hominidae.
UUUCUCUGCUCAUUCAUCUUCACGUUCAUCUCCACUUCUCUGAAUUUCUAUAACAAAAAUGGCCUCCAUCUCCUUCACAUUAUUCUUUCCACACUUUUCAGCCUUUCUCUUUUAGAUAAUAAUAAUUUGAUGUUUCUCUAAUUUGCUCUUAUUUCUUUCCCUAUUUUCCUUUUCAACUUUACUCUUUCUUUCUCACUCUUGUCUUAACUCUCUGAUAGUUUUCCUUUCUACCUCUUUUUAUCACUUCAAAGACUUUUUUCAGACACAAACCAAGGAUGAGCUAAUUUACCACAGUGAAUGUA